This is a long non-coding RNA of Mugil cephalus (flathead mullet), 1123 nucleotides long. RefSeq lists it as uncharacterized. The record is from RefSeq and is a predicted model, not a curated record. Lineage: Eukaryota; Metazoa; Chordata; Actinopteri; Mugiliformes; Mugilidae. The transcript has 2 exons.
CUGAGAUCAGCUCACCUGUCGCUCCUUUCUUCUCCCUCAUCAUCGCGGUGGAUGAAGGUUUCAUCCAGGCUGCAGGAGCAGAUCUGCAGAAUAAUCAAACGCAACACGCACGACAUCUGCUAAAGUCGAUGUUCGUGGUCUUCGGGGGAAGUCUGGACACUUUGUCCUGAUCCAGAUGUCAGUCGUCAUGUGUCCAGUUGUUUAACGUCUCCUUCAAAGAAGACGAUAUAUGGAGGAUGUUUCUUUCGGGCCUCAGCUGGAGGAUUUCCCUCCAAACAAACACCAACAUCUGCAGUAAACCUCCACCCAUCCACCCGGCCCCCGGAGGGUAAGUCCUGCUGCCCCCCAUACGUCCCAGGGACGAGCAGCAGACGGACAUUCACGCGUCCAUUCAUUAUUUCACUGUCCAGUGAGGGUUUAAGUUGUCAGCUCAGUUCAUCUCUGGGGUGGAGGGGGCUGAGGGAGGCCAGGGAUUUACAGGCCGCUUCAGAGCUUCAUGCAGCAGGAGUCAGGGCUUAAGAGUCUGAGACCUCAGAGAUCUGCAGGGAUCCUCCUCCAUGUGUCAGGGCUUCAUUCAUUUAGACACUGCUAAAAAAAAAAACGUGUUUACAGCUCAUUAGUGGACCAGGAACUCUCUGAAAGUCCAAACCGACCUCUCGACGUCCCCUCUGAGAGCUACUCCAGCAUGUCCCCCCAGUUCUUGGGCUGCCCCUAUAAAAGACGAGCUUUGCCAUUAGUAGACGUUCGAUCCGGUCGUCAAGUCAAAAACCAACGGGUCGACUCCAAGAAUCCAGGUGUUCAGGUCUCAGCUCUGGUCAUGUGGUCGAUAAACGACGUUGGUUCAGAUCAUUAGAUGCAGAUAUAGUGGAAAUAUUUCACAGAAACCUUCAUUCCCAGGUCAAAAACUAAUGAUCGACUUUGUUGGUCCUUUGAAUUUUCCUCCAGUAGCUGCAGGAAGUUUCCAGUUUAAAUCUUUCCUCUGGACGGACUCAGACAUUUUCUAUAAUUGGUUCCAGUCUGAGAUGUUUCCUUCAGGACAAGCAGCGCUUCUUCAGGUCGGAGUGAGAAUGAACGGAUUUCACUCGUUUUAGAUGAUGUGAGACAAAUAAACCAGUGAAAUGUC